This 387-nucleotide ribosomal RNA is filed under the name uncultured bacterium. RNAcentral describes it as "bacterial SSU rRNA". It matches the Rfam family "Bacterial small subunit ribosomal RNA", at positions 28 to 416 of the family's 1533-position model. The record is from RNAcentral.
GACGAACGCUGGCGGCGUGCUUAACACAUGCAAGUCGAGCGGUAAGGCCCUUUCGGGGGUACACGAGCGGCGAACGGGUGAGUAACACGUGGGUGACCUGCCCUCAGCUCUGGGAUAAGCCUGGGAAACCGGGUCUAAUACUGGAUAUGACUCCAUGACGCAUGUUGUGGGGUGGAAAGCCUUGUGCGGCUGAGGAUGGGCCCGCGGCCUAUCAGCUUGUUGGUGGGGGAUGGCCUACCAAGGCGACGACGGGUAGCCGGCCUGAGAGGGCGACCGGCCACACUGGGACUGAGACACGGCCCAGACUCCUACGGGAGGGCAGCAGUGGGGAAUCUUGCGCAAUGGGCGAAAGCCUGACGCAGCGACGCCGCGUGAGGGAUGACGGCC